UAAGAAGAGAGAGAGAGAAAAAGAAUAGGAAAAAAGAGAGCGGGGGUGUACUCUAACUACAACGUAAUUAGAAACAGGAAAACAAUUGAGAGUUAACUGCAGACGAGAACUCAU
This is a non-coding RNA of Caenorhabditis elegans, 114 nucleotides long. The record is from Ensembl. NCBI's taxonomy places the organism in Eukaryota, Metazoa, Nematoda, Chromadorea, Rhabditida, Rhabditidae.